AGGAUAGAUGAAGUGCUUACUGCAUUUUUUCUUACACAUGUGUUUUUCUUUUUUUGAAAACUUUGCUUUGGUAGGCCUUCUAUAUGGGGCCUGCCAGAGAUUAAACUCAACCAAAUUUUAUUUAAUGUCAACCGAUUAUUUAAUAGUCAAAACUUUCAACAACGGAUCUCUUGGUUCUCGCAUCGAUGAAGAACGCAGCGAAAUGCGAUAAGUAAUAUGAAUUGCAGAUAUUCGUGAAUCAUCGAAUCUUUGAACGCACAUUGCGCCCUUUGGUAUUCCAAAGGGCAUGCCUGUUUGAGCGUCAUUUCUCCCUCAAACCCUCGGGUUUGGUGUUGAGCGAUACGCUGGGUUUGCUUGAAAGAAAGGCGGAGUAUAAACUAAUGGAUAGGUUUUUUCCACUCAUUGGUACAAACUCCAAAACUUCUUCCAAAUUCGACCUCAAAUCAGGUAGGACUACCCGCUGAACUUAAGCAUAUCAAAAGCGGAGGA
RNAcentral lists this ribosomal RNA (489 nucleotides) under Lodderomyces parapsilosis. Its description in RNAcentral is "eukaryotic LSU rRNA". The stretch from base 151 to 304 matches the Rfam family "5.8S ribosomal RNA". Lineage: Eukaryota; Fungi; Ascomycota; Pichiomycetes; Serinales; Debaryomycetaceae. The record is from RNAcentral.